Molecule: ribosomal RNA, 260 nt
Filed under: uncultured bacterium
Lineage: Bacteria
Description: partial 16S ribosomal RNA
Rfam family: Bacterial small subunit ribosomal RNA
Source: RNAcentral
UACGUAGGGUGCAAGCGUUAAUCGGAAUUACUGGGCGUAAAGCGUGCGCAGGCGGCUAUGCAAGACAGAUGUGAAAUCCCCGGGCUCAACCUGGGGAACUGCAUUUGUGACUGCAUGGGCUAGAGUACGGGUAGAGGGGGGAUGGAAUUCCGCGUGUAGCAGUGAAAUGCGUAGAUAUGCGGAGGAACACCGAUGGCGAAGGCAAUCCCCUGGACCUGUACUGACGCUCAUGCGACGAAAGGCGUGGGGAGCAAACGAGG